This 16548-nucleotide long non-coding RNA is filed under the name Ricinus communis (castor bean). RNAcentral describes it as "long non-coding RNA (RCOM_LNC002219)". The record is from RNAcentral. Lineage: Eukaryota; Viridiplantae; Streptophyta; Magnoliopsida; Malpighiales; Euphorbiaceae.
CACAGCCGGAGAUGACAAAAAUAAUAAUAAAGUUUAUUGGCGAAACUUCCACUAAAGCUGAAGUUGAAGAAGGAGAAAUAAGGAUAAUGCUCUAUAGGGAUCUACUAACAGAACAUCAAGAUAGAUAUGACGGAGAGAUUUGUAGUAUAGAGCACUAAACUGGAAGUGAGUACUUGGUACUGGGAAGACACAAGGAAACUAUCCAAUGAGACUAUCUCUGAUUUUGAGACUUCGUAUAAAGUGGCGAAGAUGACCACUAAACCAACAGAGGGACUAGAUGCACUAAGGAGGCUAGGCAGCUUAGGCCAGGGCACUUUAUAAACCUUCCUUAUUCGUACCUAAUUUUCGAAACCUAUUACUUGACCCGGCAUCUUGGGUGGCGAUUCCACUUUUUCGAUUAUCAAAUAAAUAUUGUGGUCUUUUUAGGUCCCUCGACCGAAUGACUCAUUUCAAAACGAGCCUAGAAAUUCUUUGACAACAUGACAAGGAUGCCAAUCACUUAGGGCUGGGCCUGAAAACCUACUAAUGCUCAUAAACUAUAUCAUAGUAUGAUAAAGUAAUUCAUCAAUUUCUUAUAUAUAUGAAAUUAAAUUAUGUAAUAUUAAAUUCAUCAAUUGGAUGAAUCACUAAUUAAAUUAAUGUAGUGAUACUCAUCAAUCUUUAUAGGACUAGAAUUGCAUAUGAAAUUAUAAUAAAGUUAGGAUUGAAUUAAGAUUAAAAAUUAUAUUCAAUUAAAUAAUUAGAUUAACUAAAGGUAUUUUAGUUCUUUUAAAAAAAAUUCUUCUCUUUUACUAUAUAUGUGUGAGCACAAUAGGUUUUUAGGCUCGGCCCUAGUUGAUUUACGACCUCAUCAUUUUGUCGAGGAACAGUUCUUAGUACUAGGUCUAUUUUGAAAUAAGUCAUAUGGUUAAGAGACCUAAAGGACCACAAUGAUCAUGUGAAUUGGAGUCGACACACUAAACAUCGAGACAAAUUGGAGAGUAAGAAUGGCAGCUUUAUACCCCUUGCGGAGAACCUAAAAUUCUCCCUCCCCAAUGUCAAAGAUUGUGGGGGCUCAGGGUAUGAAUAAGGAAUGCAUGAGGCAUAUGCCUAGGCAUCCGCUAGAGUAAAUGAAUGUUUGCUAGCCUAACAAAAUUACCUUAAUCUAGUCACUUCUACUUAUUUAAGCACGAACCUUUUUAUCUUAUAUAAUAUGUGAGGUCAACAAACAAUUCUAACUUGGAAAAAGGUACAUUGGUACCCGAAACGAGUCAUAGAGUGAGGUACUUUAGUACUUUAGAUACUAUCUAGGUGUGGGAUUCAUAAUCUUAGCAUUUUAAAGUGAAUACAUAUAUAAGGCGCGGGAAGCUUUCAUUGGUAAGCUUUGUUCAUUUUAUGUUUGGCAUUGUGGGGUGAUUGAAAAAUCCUAAGCUAAUUUUAUUAUUCUCUUAGACAUGUGUAGUGUAAAUCUAAAAGCAAUAAAAUAAAACGUUUAUAGAAAGGAGAGGAGAAAAGAGAAUCAAAACAAUCAAAUAAAGAAUUAACUAAUAAAUUAACUAAACUAAUCCUAAAAGUCCAAAGCUAUAGAAGGAGGUAUAUUAGCACUCAAAACUAGUCCUGACGGAAGGUACUUUGGUAACUCAGAUUUUUUAUCUUUCACAUGCAAGGUGGCCAAAUUUGAAUCCAAUUUUAUUACAUAAAUUUCGUGGUAAAUUAGCAUUUUAAAGUGAGUGUAGAUAUGAACUGCGAGAAGCUUACUUUGGUAAGUUUUAUUCAUUUUAUGUUAGGCAUGCUAAAUGAUCGCUCAUAAAUCCUAAGUUGAUUUCAGUCCCUUAAAUGUGGUGAAAAUCUAAAAACAAUAAAAUAAAACAUACAUAGAAAGGGGGGAGGAGAAAAGAGAAAUCCAAAAAGGGAUUAAGGAGAUCGGGGCAAUUAAGGGGGAAUUAAUUACAACCAUAGCUUAAAAGCCUCAAAAAGUCAAAUAAGAAAUUAACUGAUUAAUUAACUAAAUUAAUUCUAAAAGUCCAAUAAAGACCACUUAGGAUAUCAAAAUUGGGUAAUUAGAACCUGUCACUAUGAAAAGAAUUAGAUUAGUAAACAAAAUUAGCAAAUAAAAGUGCAAAUAAACAAAUAUACUAUAGAAUAAAGAGAGAUUAAAAGCAAAUUAAGAAUAAUAUUAAAUAUAUAAAACAAUAGUAAAACUUCGAAAUAUGAGAUAAUAGAAAAUAAACUUAUCUUUAGAGGAAACACGACCUGUUAAUUUAGAACUUGCACCGCCAUAGAAAGCUAAACCAACACAAAAAAUAAAGUGUUUCAUUCGGUGACCAUUAAAAAAUCAAGUAAUAUACUUUAAUAUCUUGAUCAUUAUAUUAAUUGCCAUCAUUCGGUUCAAUAAUGCCCUCCUCAUCCUCAAGAUUAUAUCCAGCUGAAGAAAAUGAAAAUGAAUUUCCUAAUAUUACAGAGAACCAAAUGAACUGCAAAUAUUAUACUGUAAAGGAAGUGCUGAUUCCCGUGUAGGUGAUGGAUGACAGGCAGCCCAAUAAUUGGGGUACUGAUAUUUGUGGAGGUCUAACAAAGGAACCAGUGUAAACAUGACCCGCAUUUUGAUCCUAUUUGAUUAUAGUACUAUCUGAAGUAUUGGAGUACUGAAAUACCCAUGAAGAAAGAGAAGCCAAGUAUGAACUUUUGUCCUGAAACUGUUCAGGAGGUUACAGAACAUAAAGAGAAACCAAGGCCAGCAGAAGCUGUCUAAAUAUGGUAUAGAUGAAAUAGAUAGCUGCAACAAUUGGUAGAUAGAUAUAUAGAGGCAAGUACCGCAAAAACCACAAAAAGGAAGAUAAAACUUUGACCUCAUCUGAUCUUUGUGGAGGAAUAAAGGAAGUAAAGCGCUCUAUUCUUAAAAUUUGAAACUUGGAUCAGCAAAUUCUUAAAAUUCGAAACUCCUUCAGUUCUGUAACCUGAACUUUUACCAAUCACAUCAUUAUCCUUCUAAGAACUCGGAAAAACACCAGAAGAAUCUCUAGAGGCAAGCACGAUCUCAAUCUGUGGAAACAUAUACCACUUCUAGACUUCUUAAUGACAGAAGAUCAACCCAAGUGACAGUAAUACCAUAGCAAGUAACAAAGCAAACAACAAGAUCUAAGAUUGAAAUUACACUAGCCAUACCUCUUCAGAAUGCUCAGGGGUGAAAAGAGAAGGAACCUAUUUACCAGAGAAAGAAGUCUACAAUAUGUAACAGAAGGGAUUAUUCCACAUUGGUGAUGUAAAAAAUUUCACUAUAGGAAAGAAUAAGUAUUACAAAAAUUGACACCUUGAAAAGCUGUCCCUGUUAUGUUCUCUUACUAUAUGGUUCAUCGAGGAGAAAACCUGUAAAUGACAAUAAUCAGCAUUGCAAUUAGCCAAGAAAUAAAAUCAGGAUAAACCUAGUAGAACACAACUCACAGAAUUAAUCACUCGAACAGCAGUGAAUGACAAUUGAAUAAGAUCAUCUUUAUUGGAAAUGCUAUUUCCCAGAACAACUUCCUGCAAGCCCUCCAAUGUACAAACUGCAUGAAAUGGUCUACAACAAACCAAAACAAAAAUCACUUGUAGAACAACUUAUCCCACAACCCACAAGUUUAUCAAGAAGUUCAACAUGAGCAAAUUUUGCUUACUUUUUACAGUUACACUCUCCAAAGCAUCAUUCUCUUUUUACAGUUAAACUCUCCAAAGCAACUUCAUAAAAAACCCAUCAAUGCUCAUAUUGAAAACAUCCCCCAUACGUUCUCACCUGGUUCCAUAUCCAAAUCAAUCUCACCUCCUCUAACUCCCCUUCUUCCUUCUCAACAACAUCAACAAUCUUUUUUGAAUAGAUUGCAUUUCCCUUGCAGCUUGGCAAUGGACUCCGCUGCAUCUCGGUCACCUAGACUAUAUGACUUUCCUUUUGCAAUACUUCUAGAGCUCCAAGUUGCUCCUGAGAUGUUCGAGUUUACGGAUUUCAUGCAUUAGAGUAACAGGUGCAGUUGAUGAUGUAUUGCCUUAACAUAGUUUUCCUUGCUCUGUCGCAGCGGUUUAUCUCCUUGUUCUCAAGUUUUCAUAAUAAUGCAUCAGCGUAGGAGAGAGAGACAGUUCUUUACCGAUGGACGUGGUGUUGAUUCCAAUGUGCUAGAAGCCGUUGGUCCUCUUGCAGUUUUUUCUGCAACUCAUCCACUUGAGAUUGUGCAAAAUCUCUCUGGCGCCUCAGUUCUUUAAUUUCUCUCUUUAUCUACACCCAACAAAAUGAUGAGGUACACAUUCAUUAGAUGACUGUAAAAUUCAACUAAGCUGCUGAAAACUUAACAUAACAGCACGAGAAAGAAUAGGGAAAGAAAAAGAAAAAAAGGAAAACUAAAAAUCAAGUAUCUACAAUUUCGAUAAGCAGUACCAGGUCCAGAUUAAGCAAUCGUCUCAAAUAAAGAAAUCAACCAACCAUAAUUCAAUCGCAAGGAAAUCUAAGAAGGGAAAGGAAGAAACAGAAGAUAAAUCACUUGGUAAGUUUAAUCCUUUCCAGUAUACAUAAGGAAAGAUCAUGAGCUUCGAUAUUAAGGAAAUAAAUUCAAUAAACAACAACAAUACUCACAGAAAUCUCAGGAUAAGAACAAUGCAGUAUCCGAGAGAGAGAGAGAGGAGUUUUGAAAGAGAGAGAAUGGCUUCUACUGAUUUUGCAGGUAUUUUCGAGGACGAAGAAGAAGAGAUUUGUUUCUCUUCCUCUUUAAUGAAAAAACAAACGGGCAACUUAGUGUUGUGCAUUUGAAUUUGUGAGCCGUAACGGCUAGUUUCUUUUUGUUUGCGUUUUUAUUUGAAUUACUUUUAUUACCGAUUCGCAUAUUCAGAUCGACGGUCACAGUGGAAUGGAUUCCUUUGUCAAAGUUUUGAAAAAAACGGCAGUUUUGGUUUCUGGUAAGUUAAUUAAUUUCUGCAACCAUAAUAAAGGAGGAAGGUUAAAAAAGGAAUUUUGCACAUAUGCCCUCUACGUACGACGUAUCGUUUCUUCAACGGUUGCUCAUAUUUGGUAAUUCUUGUGCUAAACUGCUCAUCAAAUGUGGCUUUGUUGAAUAAUUUGUAGGAUAAUUUAUGUGCACAGCCAAUCCUCCCCACUUAGAAAAGGAAAAGAUAAAAAGCUAAAAACAAACAAAUAGGUAAAAUUUCAAUGUCCAAGUUUAAAAUUUGAGAACAUGAACUUACAAAGCGUUCUGAAAUUACUUUUUCAGCAUUAGACUGCACAUCCAUCUCAACAGCAACAAUUGCUGUGCAAUCAUCAGCAUCAUCAUGCCCAGUAGACCCGCACCGAAGUUGUAUAUCACGACACUCCUUGAGAAGAACUGUGACCUGCAAAAUCAUAGUCAGCAUUAAAAGAAUAGUACUGGCAAGCAAAAUAAAGAAUGAACUAUAACGAUAGUUUAUCAAAAGGAAAUAUGUACACAUGCCUUGACACACAGCCAACAUCUAAGAUGGUUGUAGAGCUUUUAGAAUAAUAAAUGCACACGCUAGCAUAUAUGUAGAAUAAUAAAAUUUAAGAAAGAAGUAUAUUUCAUGUAAUACUUCAAAUCGACAAUUUUGGUGAUUUCUUUUUCUUUUCCUAGUCACAAUAAUUUUUCCAAGUCAACACAUCAAUGUUAUAUAAAAUUAGUCUCAUGCUGGUGUCCUCAAGGGGCGGUACGGGAUGGGCUGAAGGAUAAUGAAAAAAAAAAAUUAGUUCAACUGUGACUUUGUUGAACUCUGAAGCUAUUUUAUUUAUUGUAUCAUUUUUCUUUUAUACGGUAAAUAUCCGAAUUGAAAAAAAAAUCAAUCAAGUUUCAAUUUUUUUUUUUUGCAAACUAAUUCUAUAUUUCUUUUAGAAGCAAUGGGAACAGCUAGGAUAAGAAUAGCAAACUCGAGUUCGAUUAAAAAUUAUCUGAAAAUUUCUUUUAAAAUUUUAAAAAAAAUUAUCUUUGUUAUAUAAAUUCAUUCUAUAUCCAAACAGGAAUCAACAUAUAUAUUAUUCGAAUUUAAUAAAAAUAUAUAACAAUUAAAAAAAUUAUAUAGAUAUUUCAAUAGGUAGCAGUUACCUUACCCGUUAAAUAUCCAUUUAUAUAAAUAUUCGAAUAAAUGGGUACUUUAUAUUAUCCUUAAUACUCUAAUUUAUGUUAUAUUUUUAAAAUAUAUCUUCUACUAAUUAAUACAAUUGCAUUGCUUAAUCUUAUUAAUUUUUUAUUAAUUAUUAGAAGAUUAUCUAAAUCUUAAUACAUUUGUAUAUAAAUACAAGUUAAUUACUCUUACUCAGAUUUUGACAAAUUUACAAUUUUAAUCUUGUUCUCUAAAAGUAAACUAAUUGUUUGAUAGAGUCUCUUAUACCUUAGAGUUCUCUCAUCUCUUAUAUCUCUUAUCUCUUUUCCUUUUUAAUAUUUAUCAUCUUCAUAUAUAGAUAAGUCUUAUAUCUCUUAGCUUGUAGCUAUAUAGCUAUUGACUCUGUAAUCCUAUAAAUAUUCUGAUGUGUAACUUCAUUCAUAUCACUCCAAUAGAACUAUUUUCAAGUCUAAACAUGGUAUUAAAUCCUUACAACUAAAGAUUAUUGAUGCUUCUUCCACUCCACAAUAAACUUUAGCUUUGCCAUUAAAUUUUCAUCCUGAAAUUACUUUGCUUUGAAAACACAAUUUCUUCCACUCAUCAAUUAUCUUGAUAUAAAUUCUCUUAAUGAUGGUUCACACAGCCCUACCACAACAAUUCCUUCAACUACAAAUCCUAAUGCACCUACUGUUAGUCCAACCUAUAUUCGAUGGUUUAAAAGAGAUCAAUUAACUCUGGUACCUCUUUAAUGUUUGCUUUGAUUAAUUUUAAAUCUUUUGUCAAUCUCUUCUUAUGAGUCAAUCUGUCAAAGAGCUGCUUUAUUUGGUCCUUAUAUUGUAAAUUUAAUUUGAUAUAAUAAAAAAGUUUAAUUCAGCCCUUAAAUUUAUUGUAACUAUUAAACUGUUUCAAGAUAAUUAAAUUAAUAUUUUUAAAUUGCUCUAUUUUCUAGCAUAUUCUUUUUAAAAAAAACCAUAGAGAGGUCUUUGUUAUUUAUUAUUAUUAGAAAAAAUCAUAAAUAAGUCAUAAUGUUUACAUUUUCAAUAACUAAUACACAUGAUCAAAACAAUUUAUGCAACUAAAUUCAAUGAUAAGAAUUAGUUCAAACUUGAUUUAAUAUUAUUAGAUAAUUUAAAUAAUUUAUCCAAAUUAAUGAAUUUAAUACCAAAAUAAUCUUUUCAGCAUAUCGGGGUUCUUUAAACUGAUUUUAGGACGGUAAUGGUAAUGGUAGUAAGUAUUGGAAUUAGCUCUGCAUUAAAAGAAUAAGAAUAAAUUGAUAGUUGAGAUAUUUUAAAAUGUUCAAGAUAAAAAAAUAACAAAAAAUUAAUUAUUCUCAUUAGAAUUUAAAUAGGUUGGAGAUUAUUAUUCUUAGUUAUAAAACAAAAAGUUAAGAAAAAAAUUAAAUACUGCAUAGAAAUUUUAAAGGGAAAAAGUUUAUUUUUUCUUAAUUACCAAUAAACAAAAUUAUUUUUUUGUAUAAAAAAGUCAUGCUAAGAAAAUGGGAACAAUUAAAAAAUACUAAUUUACAUAUUUUCGACAAAUUUAAUUCUUACUAAUAUGUUUAGCGGCUAAAUUGAACUUCUUAAUUAGAUCAAAUUAAACUUAUAAUAAGUAUAAAGACUAAAUUGAACUUUCAUUUUAUCAAUUAAGCUCUUUGAGUGGUAGACUGGUGAGAAAAAUGAUGGAAUGGGUCGAUGGUUAAUAGAACCAAAUAUAAAAGGAGUAUUAGUUCAUUUCUGAAAAAAUAAAAUUGGACAUGUAAAUUUAUUCAAAUCUAAAGAGGUAUUAGUAAUUAACCCUAACUAUUUUAUGAUAAUCAGCAAUGACAUUCCUAUUCAUAUUCCGAUUACUUGUGGACCCAACCCUAUACGGAUAGAUAGGUACUAAAGGACUAACUCUGUGAAUUUAAUAUUAUAAAAGACGAUACUAAACUUACUACUAAAACAUAAUGACAACCAUACACUAAUAAAUAACAUGAAAAUAUUUACUGAAUCGUGACAUUCAAAAAUUAUCAUAAGGAAUCUAAUAUUUAAAUAUUACUUAGGGGUAUAAAUAGCCGGAGACGACAGAAAUAAUAAUAAAGUUUGUUGGAGUAACUUUGAAGAAGGAGAAAUGAGGAUAAUGCUUUAUAGGGAUCUACUAACAGAACAACAAGAUAUAUCUUAAAAAUGUUAAAAAUAAAGGGGUGAGUACAAAACUUAAUGAGAUGAUAAAGAGCAAUAUAUAAGGAAGUUAAUAUCAUAUCUCGUACUAUAAAUACAGUCUGAAAACUCUAACCAACUAGAUAAAUGUUAGUGAUACAGUUGAUAAUUCUUACCUAGCAACCCAAAGCACAAAUCUCUGUCAUGCGUGCCGGUAAUGCCCUCGAAAGGGGACUGCCCAGUAUACACCCAAUGCGUGCAUACUAAAAUAUCAUCUGUUUCUAUUACUGAAUCAAUACUUUACACCAAGUGUGAUUCUACAGGGUACGUAAAUGCGUGUACACCACUCAUCCAACUAUAUAAACUCUAAUUUAUAUAAAUACAAAAUCCAAAUUACCAUUUAUCGGUUCUUGAGUUCUUAGAAAAUAUUCCAAUUGUUUUAAUCGAAUUAUAUGUUGUUAUAGCUUAUCCACUCACUUGAAUUGUAACGGAGAAAAAACUCCUAGCAGACUAGUGGAUCACUAGGAUCCACAACAGACUCUGAAUCUUUAUCUAAAAUAAGAUAAUAUUCCAAAUAAGAACUUGAAUUGAAGUACAAACGAUUCAAAAAAUGAGAAAAUAUAAGAUGCAAAUGCAAAUGACUUCCUAUAAUUUCUACAGAAAAUCGGGUAGCAUCUUCCAUAAAAUCGGAUUAAUUCCCUAAUAAAACGAGUCCAAAACCUGCAAAUAAUAUGUUUAUAUCCAUCCAAAAACCACUCAGACCUCCAAACUACAUAAUACACCAAUUAAACCAUAUCCCUAUACAAUCAACAUAUGCCCCACCGAGUUUUGCACAUAAAUUAUAAUAAUAUCUAGAUUUAAAUAAAUUAAUACAACACCUCAAUUCCAAAUAAUUAAAUUCUUGAUAUCCAAGUAAUCUUUCACCACACUAUACAAAAAUCUUAGCAUUUAAAUAAUUUAAUACGCUUAUAAACACAUUGAUAAUCCAAAAAUAUUCAAUAAUUCAACAACAAUCUCAAUUUAAUUCCAAUAUCAAAUUGAAGUUAGGAGCAAAGUUUAAUGGUGGUUUGGUGAGGACUCAUUAUUCCAUGUUUUUAAGGAAUGUCCAUGGUGUCGUGCAGUUUGGUAUGCUAUGCUUUGGUAAUGCCAAAAAUCGCUUUGUUAAUGGAAAGGGGGAUCAUGGAGAUUUCAUCAGAUUUAAUCUUCCUCAAACAGGGCCAACUAGUGUUCAUUGGAAAGCACCGAUCCAAGGACAUUACAAGAUCAACAUUGAUGCUUUGGUGAAGCAGGAAUUAAAGUUAACCAGAUUGGAUGUAAUCAUCUGAGAUUAUGCUGGAAAUGUUAUUGCUUCAGCUAAAAAAGAUAAUGAAGUUUUGGAUGUUGAGAUGGCAGAGGCUAUGGCAAUUCUGUAUGAUUGAUCCACCGCUUGGGAAUGUGACAUUAGAAGUAUGAUCGCUCAAAGUGACUCUGCUGCUAUUAUUUUGAUGUAAUAAAAUAAUUUUUAUCAUAAUGAAAAAAUACAAAUUUUAAGGUAAUUAAUCAAAGUGGAUGUCUUUAAUUGAAAUAAUCUAACUAACUCUAUGUAACAAAAUUUAAAAUAAUAGAUUAUUUCAGUUAGUAGAUUAUUUUAAAUUUUGUUACAUGGAGUUAGUUAUCCACAUGAUUAACAUCAUUCCACGUAUUAGUAGCUAUAGUAGUCCUCCAUUCAUUGGCAGUAUUUCUUUAUUGCUUUUAAGCCUCAACGAAAUUCUCUUAUUCAUUAACUGGUAUAGCUAGAAAUCAUAAAAUUUCACUAUCUGCUUCAACUGGAAAUUCAUCCGAAUGAAACUUUUGUCGGAGAAAGUUGUCCAAUCCUGCACAUGCCAACACUAGCUCUGCUUGCCCGCUAUAUAUGGAAAUGGAGGAACUGUUUUAAAAAUUUUAAAGCGUGAUUUAAAAAUACCAAAUGAUCUCUCUACUCUAUUUCUCAAAGAAGCAUGAAAAUGCAUUUUCAGGAUGACGACGACCUUGACUUUGGAAAUCUUGAAGAUGAUGAUAGCGAACACCUCGAAAAGGAGCUAAAAACUGAAGUCGAUUUGGGAAUCCACAAUACACCAAAACAUUAUUUACCUAACAUAAAUAUAAUAAAAAAAAAUAUGAUAAGAAAACAAAAAAUAUAUAUAAAAAAUGAAAAUAAAUUGAAAUUGCAAUAAGUAGAUUAAAAGUACAUUGUGGUACUUUAAAUCUAUUACUCCUUGAUAGACAUCAUUUAACACUUUUGAAUCAUAUGCAAAUCCUUUCCACCCACUAAGCACAUAUUUGAAUUCCAAAUAAAAAAUACAAGCUGCUAAAAUAUUUUGCGAAGUUAUUCCAUAACGAUUGCGAUAGCUACUAAUCCUCGACUCAAAGACAUUAUUAAACAAAUGGACAUAUGCAAAAGUUGCUCAAUAAUGGGAAGUCAUCCAAAGUGGAUCUUCUUGACCUGUAGAAAUUCGAUGGUUCUGAUGAUCCUUAGGCUUUCUUGAAUGCUUACUAAUUUGGUACCUGCACUAAUAUGACCAAGCAGCAGAUAAUGCAAUACUUUUUAGUGUCUACUUGAUCGGCAUUGUUGCCUGUUGGUACUAGCAGUUGAAUGAAAAACUAAGAGACAAUUGGAAAGAUAUGACUGAGAGAUUUGUAGGCCAAUAUGGGUACAAAGCACUACUAAAGUGGAAGUGAGUACUUGGGACUGAGCAGCCACAAGGAAACUAUCCAAUGAGACCAUCUCUGAUUUUGAGAUUUUGCAUAAAGUGGCGAAGAUGACCACUAAACCAAUAAAGGGACCAGAUGCACUAAGGAGGCUAGGUAGCCUAGGCCAGGGCACUUCAUAAACCUUCCUUAUUCGUACCUAAUUUUCAAAACCUAUUACUUGACCCCACAUCUUAGGUGGCGACUCCACUUCUUCGAUUGUCAAAUGAAUAUUGUGGUCUUCUAGUUUCCUCGACCGAACAACUUAUUUCAAAACGAGCCUAAAAAUUCUCUAACAACGUGACGAGGAUGCGAAUCACUUGGGGUUGGCCCUAAAAACCUACUAAUGCUCAUAAACUCAUAGGUCUAUGAUAAACUAAUUCAUCAAUUUCUUAUAUAUAUGAAAUUAAAUUCAUCAAUUGGAUGAAUCACUAAUUAAAUUAAUAUAGUGAUACUCAUCAAUCUUUUGUAGGACUAGAAUUGCAUAUGAAAUUAUAAUAAAAUUAGGAUUGAAUUAAGAUUAAAAAUUAUAUUCAAAUAAAUAAUUAGAUUAACUAAAGGUAUUUUAGUUCUUUUAAAAAAAAUUUCUUCUCUUUUACUAUAUAAGAAUGUGUGAGCACAAUAGGUUUUUAGGCUCGGCCCUAGUUGAUUUACGACCUCAUCGUUGUGUCGAGGAACCGUUCUUAGUACUAGGUCCAUUUUGAAAUAAGUCAUAUGGUUAAGAGACCUAAAGGACCACAAUGAUCAUGUGAAGUGGAGUCACCACCCUAAACAUCGAGACAAAUUGAAGAGUAAGAAUGGUAGCUUUAUACCCCUCGCGGAGAGCCUAAAAUUCUCCCUCCCCAAUAUCAAAGAUUAUGGGGGCUCAGGAUAUGAUAAGGAAUGCAUGAGGCACAUGCCUAGGCAUCCGCUAGAGUAAAUGAAUGUUUGCUAGCCUAACAAGAUUACCUUAAUCUAGUCACUUCUACUUAUUUAAGCACAAACUUUUUAUCUUAUAUAAUAUGUGAGGUCAACAAACAAUUCUAACUUGGAAAAAGGUACAUUAGUACCCGAAACGAGUCAUAGAAUAAGGUAAUUUAGUAUUUUAGAUACUAUCUAGGUGUGGGAUUCAUAAUCUUAGCAUUUUAAAGUGAAUACAUAUAUAAGGCGCAGGAAGCUUUCAUUGGUAAGCUUUGUUCAUUUUAUGUUUGGCAUUGUGGGGUGAUUGAAAAAUCCUAAGCUAAUUUUAUUAUUCUCUUAGACAUGUGUAGUCUAAAUCUAAAAGCAAUAAAAUAAAACAUUUAUAGAAAGGAGAGGAGAAAAGAGAAUUCUAGAAAGGGAUUAAGGAGACUCGAGCGACCAAGGGGAAUUAAUUACAACCACCGCCAAAACAAUCAAAUAAAGAAUUAACUAAUAAAUUAACUAAACUAAUCCUAAAAGUCCAAAGCUAUAGAAGGAGGUAUAUUAGCACUCAAAACUAGUCCUGACGGAAGGUACUUUGGUAACUCAGAUUUUUUAUCUUUCACAUGCAAGGUGGCCAAACUUGAAUCCAAUUUUAUUACCUAAAUUUAAGUAGUAAAUUAGCUUUUUAAAGUGAAUGCAGAUAUGAGGUGCCAGAAGCUUACUUUGAUAAGCUUUAUUCAUUUUAUGUUAGGCAUGCUGAAUGAUUGCUCAUAAAUCCUAAAUUGAUUUUACUCCCGUAAAUAUAUGUUGUGAAAAUCUAAAAACAAUAAAAUAAAACAUACAUAGAAGGGGGGAGGAGAAAAGAGAAAUCCAGAAAGGGAUUAAGGAGAUCGGGGCAAUUAAGGGGGAAUUAAUUACAACCAUAGCUUAAAAGCCUCAAAAAAUCAAAUAAGGAAUUAACUAAUUAAUUAACUAAAUUAAUCCUAAAAGUCCAUAAAAGACCGCUUAGGAUAUCAAAACUGGGUAAUUAGAACCUGUCACUAUGAAAAGAAUUAGAUUAGUAAACAAAAUUAACAAAUAAAAAUGCAAAUAAACAAAUAAACUAUAGAAUAAACAGAAAUUAAAAGCAAAUUAAGAAUAAUAUUAAAUAUAUAAAACAAUAGUAAAACUACGGAAGAUGCUAACAGAAAAUAAACUUAUCUUGGGAGGCAACACGAAAUGUUAAUUUAGUACUUGCACUGACAUAGAAAGCUAAACCAACACAAAAAUAAAGUGUUUCACUUGGUAACCAUUAAAAAAUCAAGUAAUGUACUUUGAUUGCCAUCUAUUCACUUUUCACACAAUCUUUUUUUUUUUAAAAAGAGCCUCUUUUUUCUUUGUCUAAUUAUCAUAAUAAUUUACUAUUUUGAUUAAGCAAUUGAUAGACUCGUCUCAAAUAAAGAGAUGUAUAUAUCCAUUUAUAUAAAUAUUUGAAUAAUUAAAUAGGUACUUGAUAACUCGGUCAAGGAUUGAGCUAUCAAUAAGAUCUUUAAAGGUUGAUUCAAUCUCCAGAGUACCUAUAAAGAUGGUUAGAAAGCGACAGACGGGAUUGUCCACCCACUUACUCCGAUAAUUAAGUCAAUAAUUUGUGAAAGGGUGGCUUAAGUAUAUUAAAGGUGUAAAGUAGUGUAUAUGAAAAUAUGGUUCUUUAUAUAGAUGUUUGAUAGUCUAUUUGAGUAAAAAACUCUGCAGAUAUAGGUCGGCUUAGAUAUAAUAAGAUUUAUUCUCUUUGUUGUCUCAACAGUUUUAGAUUGGGUUAGACUCUCUAACUAGAGUCCGUCCAUGACACGAUCUCUUAGACUUUCUGUUAUUAUGGAUACAAACUUGGUCAACUCCGUCUUUCUCGGGCAUAACAGGUUGGCCUAUAAUGCUCUGAUAUACUCGUUUAUAAUAAUUAAAUUUUAAAUUAUACUAACAGAAAAACUAAAUCUAAACUACAUAAUUUUAAAUGGGAUCGAGUACUAGAUUCAAGUAAGCUAUACUUAUAUUCAUUUAAAUAAUUAUGGUAGGGAGCGGGUAUACGAGGGCUCACAUCCAAAAUCGACACGAGUAUAUUAGAAUCCAAUUUCAAACUCGUCCCAAAUUCUUUUACAAUUACCUAAACUCGUUCUAUUAGAGUUCGGUCGAAUCGGAUAUACAAAAAUAUCCACCCAACUAAUAUUGCUAAAUAAGAUUUGAUAUUUAAUACCGUUUUUAAAAAUGGUACAAGUUUCAUCAUAUAUUUAUUGGAACUUAGAUUUUUUUUUUGCAAUUACCUUUAGAAUGCAUCCAAAAGAAAAUGCAAGAUACCAAUUGUUACAUAUAAUUGUUGGCAUGUGAUUCUAUUUAAGUUCUUACAUUAAUAAUCAAAAUAUAACAACCUAGCAUAUAUCAACUUAAUUAAAGUUUUUAGUGCGAGUGUUCUUUCUCUAUUUGUAACUCAAAAAGAACCUAGCAUUUUUAGCAUAAUGUAGGCCUAUUUUCUAAAAUUUGAUAAAAUGAUUUAUAUUAUCCUUAAUACUCUAAUUUAUAUUGUACUUUUAAAAUAUAUUUUUCUACUAAUUAAUACAAUUGUAUUGCUUAAUCUUAUUAAUUUUAUAUUAAUUAUUAAUAACAAAUUCUUCUGUCAGAAGUUUAUCUAAAUCUUAAUAUAUUUGUAUAUAAAUACAAGUUAAUUACUCUUACUCAUAUUUGGACAAAUUUACAAUUCUAAUCUUGUCCCUUAUCUCUUAGAGUUCUCUCAUCUCUUAUAUCUCUUAUCUCUUAUCCUUUUUAAUAUUUAUCAUCUUCAUACAUAGAUAAGUCUUAUAUCUCUUAGCUUAUUGGCUCUGUAAUCCUAUAAAUAUUCUGAUUUGUAACUUAAUUCAUAUCACUCCAAUAGAACUUUCAAGUCUAAACAUGGUAUCAAAGCCAACUAAAGAUUAUUGAUGCUUCUUCCACUCCACAAUAAACUUUAGCUUUGCCAUUAAAUUUUCAUCCUGAAAUUACUUUGCUUUGAAGACACAAUUUCUUCCACUCAUUAAUCAUCAUGAUAUGAAUCCUCUUAAUGAUGGUUCACAUGCUCCUACCAUAUCAAUUCCUUCAACUUCAAAUCCCAAUGCACCUGCUUAAUCUAGUCUAUAUUAAAUGGUUUAAAAGAGAUCAAUUAACUCUAGUACCUCUUUAAUGUUUGCUUUGGUUAAUUUUAAAUCUUUUGUCAAUCUCUUUUUAUCAGUCAAUCUAUCAAAGAGAUGCUUUAUUUGGUCCUUAUAUUAUAAAUUUAAUUUGAUACAAUAAAAGAGUUUAAUUCAGCCCUUAAAUUUAUUAAACUCUUCUUUCAAGAUAAUUAAAUUAAUAUUUUUAAAUUGCUCUAAUUUCUAGCAUAUUCUUUUUAAAAAGAACCAUAGAGAUGUCUUUUUUAUUUCUUAUUUUUAGAAAAAAUCAUAAAUAAGUCAUAAUGUUUUACAUUUUUAAUAACUAAUACACAUAAUCAGAAUAAUUUAUGCAACUAAAUUCAAAGAUAAGAAUUAGUUCAAACUUGAUUUAAUAUUAGAUAAUGAAAAUAAUUUAUCCAAAAUAAUCUUUUCAUAUCAUAAUGGGGGUUUUUCAAACUGAUUUUAGGACGGUAAUUGUAAUGGUAGUAAGUAUUGGAAUUAGCUCUGCAUGAAAAGAAUAAGAAUAAAUUGAUAGUUGAGAUAUUUUAAAAUGUUCAAGAUAAAAAAUAACAAAAUAUUAAUUAUUCUCAUUAGAAUUUAAAUAGGUUGGAGAUUAUUAUUCUUAGUUAUAAAACAAAAAGUUAAGAAAAAAAAUCAAAUACUGCAUAAAAAUUAAAGGGAAAAAGUUUAUUUUUUCUUAAUUACCAAUAAACAAAUUUAUUUUUUUGUAUAAAAAAGUCAUGUUAAGAAAUGGAAACAAUUAAAAAAUACUAAUUUACAUAUUUUCGACAAAUUUAAUUCUUACUAAUAAGUUUAGUGGUUAAAUUGAACUUCUUACUAGAUCAAAUUAAACUUAUAAUAAGUAUAAGGACCAAAUUGAACUUUCAUUUAAUCAAUUAAGCUCUUUGACUGGUAAACUGGUGAAAAAAAUGAUGGAAGGGGUCGAUGGUUAAUUGAACCAAAUAUAAAAGCGUAUUAGUUCAUUUCUGAAAAAAUAAAAUUGGAUUUGUACAUUUAUCCAAAUCUAAAGAGGUAUUAGUAAUUAACCCUAACUAUUUUAUGAUAAUCAGCAAUGACAUUCCUAUUCAUAUUCCGAUUACCUGUGAGACCCAACUCUAUACGAAUAGAUAGGUACUAAAGGACUAACUCUGUGAAUUUAAUAUUAUAAAAGACGAUACUAAACUCACUGCUAAAAAAUAAUGACAACCAUAACAUGAAUAUAUUUACUGAAUCAUGACAUUCAAAAAUUAUCAUAAGGAAUCUAAUAUUUCAAUAUUACUUAGGGGUAUACACAGUCGGAGAUGACAAAAAUAAUAAUAAAGUUUGUUGGCGAAACUUCCACUAAAGCUGAAGUUGAANNNUGCUCUAUAGGGAUCUACUAACAGAACAUCAAGAUAGAUAUGACGGAGAGAUUUGUAGUAUAGAGCACUGAACUGGAAGUAAGUACUUGGUACUGGGAAGCCACAAGGAAACUAUCCAAUGAGACCAUCUCUGAUUUUGAGAUUUCGUAUAAAGUGGCGAAGAUGACCACUAAACCAAUAGAGGGACUAGAUGCACUAAGGAGGCUAGGCAGCCUAGGCCAGGGCACUUCAUAAACCUCCUUAUUCGUACCUAAUUUUUGAAACCUA